CUUGUGGACUGUUAUAGCAAAUGGAAGUAGAUUUUAUACGUUAUGAUAUAAAAACCAAACCAGACAGGAAGAAACAAGAA
Molecule: non-coding RNA, 80 nt
Submitted as: unclassified sequences
Source: Rfam